Molecule: non-coding RNA, 166 nt
Organism: Notechis scutatus (mainland tiger snake)
Lineage: Eukaryota; Metazoa; Chordata; Lepidosauria; Squamata; Elapidae
Source: RefSeq, a predicted model, not a curated record
CCUCUUUAUAUCAUAAGGUAAAGGUAAAGGCUCCCCUCGAACAUACGUGCUACUCAUUUCCGGCUCUAGGGGGCAGUGCUCAUCUCCAUUACAAAGCCAAAGAGCCAGCGCUGUCCAAAGACGCCUCCGUGGUCAUGUGGCCGGCAUGACUGAACACCAAAGGCGC